RNAcentral lists this unclassified non-coding RNA (432 nucleotides) under Hevea brasiliensis (rubber tree). The record is from RNAcentral. Lineage: Eukaryota; Viridiplantae; Streptophyta; Magnoliopsida; Malpighiales; Euphorbiaceae.
GCACAAUUAUACACUAUCUUGGAACUUUGCCGUGCAUUUGAUAGGAUAUUCAAGGAGCAUCUGGAUGGAGGGCGACCUGGAGGUGAUCGAAUUUAUGGAGUCUUUGACAAUCAGCUCCCUGCUGCUUUGAGGAAGCUUCCAUUUGAUCGGCAUCUUUCUCUGCAGAAUGUGAGGAGAGUGGUCUCAGAGGCAGAUGGUUAUCAGCCACAUCUGAUUGCCCCAGAGCAAGGUUACAGGCGUCUUAUCGAGGGAGCACUGAAUUAUUUUAGGGGUCCAGCUGAAGCUUCUGUGGAUGCUGUUCACUUUGUCCUAAAAGAACUUGUGAGAAAAUCAAUAGGAGAAACACAGGAAUUGAAGCGUUUUCCUACUUUGCAAGCUGAAAUAGCUGCUGCAUCAAAUGAGUCCUUGGAGAGGUUCCGUGAGGAUAGUAAG